UGGUGAAACUUUCUCAGUGUUCCACCUACUCCCUUUCCAUCUCCUUGCUGGGCUAAGAAAAGGAUUCUGAUGAAGAAAUCAAAGUUCAGGAAUGGUAAAUGUUCUGAUCAAGGUUGUUCUGCUGGAGUGGUGGUUGAUCUCAAGCUUCCCGCAAGCCUGUUGACUACAGCAUUGAUCAGUUCGCCUAAGUUUCCUGACUGUAAAUAUCAUGGCUGAUUCUAAUAUCAUGCACAAAGCCUGUCAUUCAGAGAGAUGGUGCUACAAAUUGUUUUACAGUUUUAGUUGUGUUCAAAUCAACCAAGUAUAAAUCAGAAUGUCAUCAAGGCUAUGAGCUCCACCUUUCUAAAUCUGGGUAUUCCACUUCCGAGAAGGGUUUUGUGCCUGAGAGGUUGAUAUCUGCAACUGUCUCAAGGCUCUAACUUUUCAUAAACACUAUUGCAAACUAGUUUAGGUUGUACAAGAGAAGACUUUCUUUUAAAAAUCAAAAGUAUAGGUUUUGAUUCAUCUUUGCAAGAUGGGAGAAAAAAGCAGAAAUAAAGUCUAGCCUCCCAGAUGACCUCAAUAUUGGAAAUGACCCAUGCAAGCACUUUCACUGAGAAGUGAAUAAAACUAGGAUAAAUUGCUGCCAGAUUUAGUGUACAACAGGUCUGAUUUUGUUGCUUCACAACUUUUUUUCUCAUCAAACAGUAGAGUGGACUUCGACAUGGAGAAGAUCCUGUCAAAACUUCACUCACACUCCCUAAUUCAGAGGGGUGAGGGCAGGUAGUGGGGCAAAGAGCCAUGAUACACAAAGUGCAGGCCACUGCCCCCCACUUCAACCUGACCUAAUCCAUCAUGGGAGUUCACAUUGCCUCAGCCAAAAUAAAUAGAGAGACGCCCUUCUGCACAACGGAGACUUGUCUAGCUGUGACUGCCUACUCGUCACCUCUCAACAUCCACUCAAACCCCCAAGCUACUGAAUGCCUAAUAUAAAUGCAUAGCAAAAUGUAAA
This 991-nucleotide long non-coding RNA is filed under the name Homo sapiens (human). Its description in RNAcentral is "HSALNT0388650". Lineage: Eukaryota; Metazoa; Chordata; Mammalia; Primates; Hominidae. The record is from RNAcentral.